This 494-nucleotide ribosomal RNA is filed under the name uncultured bacterium. RNAcentral's name for it is "partial 16S ribosomal RNA". It matches the Rfam family "Bacterial small subunit ribosomal RNA", at positions 28 to 507 of the family's 1533-position model. The record is from RNAcentral.
GACGAACGCUGGCGGCGUGCUUAACACAUGCAAGUCGAACGGAAAGGCCUGCUUUCCCUUGUGGAUUGCGGGUACUCGAGUGGCGAACGGGUGAGUAACACGUGAGUGAUCUGCCCCCAACUUGGGUAUAAGCCUGGGAAACUGGGUCUAAUUCCCGAUAGGACUGCAGGGUGGUGCCUGUGGUGGAAAACGAGUUUCUAGUGGUUGGGGAUGAGCUCGCGGCCUAUCAGCUUGUUGGUGGGGUAAUGGCCUACCAAGGCGGCGACGGGUAGCCGGCCUGGGAGGGUGGACGGCCACAUUGGGACUGAGAUACGGCCCAGACUCCUACGGGAGGCAGCAGUGGGGAAUAUUGCACAAUGGGCGGAAGCCUGAUGCAGCGACGCCGCGUGGGGGAUGACGGCCUUCGGGUUGUAAACUCCUUUCGACCGCGAGGAAGCCACCUGGUUGGAAGGGUGGUGACGGUAGUGGUAGAAGAAGCACCGGCUAACUACGUG